Molecule: RNA transcript, 5635 nt
Organism: Oncorhynchus keta (chum salmon)
Lineage: Eukaryota; Metazoa; Chordata; Actinopteri; Salmoniformes; Salmonidae
Gene name: F-BAR and double SH3 domains protein 2-like
Exons: 22
Source: RefSeq, a predicted model, not a curated record
UGCAAUCUCCACGAAAAAUCCCGUGUACUUCCUCAGUGUGCCGCCAUUCCCCAUCUCUCCUCCACCGGAAACCCUGCUGUAUCGCAAACUUCGCUUUUAUGUUCCCGGAGGCAGUCGAUUUUCAACAGGACUUCAUCGGUGUGUUGAGUUGGGUCGUCAUGGCCGCCUGAACCAGACUAAAUUCACCCAGUGCGUGGUUCUCAUUCUGUAAUUUACAUACAAUCGAAAGUUUUUUUUGCGGAUUAACUUCAAUAUUUGUUAGGGGGGAAAACAUCCAUGUAAAAACUCUAACAUGCAGCCUCCGCCAAGAAAGGUCAAGGUUACCCAGGAGCUAAAGCAUACUCAUGCUGAGCAGAUGAGCAGACUCCACAUCAAACACCAGACAGAGUGUGACCUACUAGAGGACCUGAAGACAUUCAGUCAGAAGAAAGCCGCUGUAGAGAGGGACUAUGCUCAGGCUCUACACAAGCUUGCCAAUCAGUACCUGAAGAGGGAAUGGCCGGACAGCCUAUCAGAGGAGCCAACAGACCACGGGAACAUGUACACGUUGUGGAAGGCAUACCUGGAGGGCAUAGUGCAUGUGAGCCAAACCAGGAUCACGGCCUGUGAGAACUACAGGAACCAAGUGUCGGACCCUGCCAAGACUGCCAGGCUGCAGAAGGAGCAGCAGCUCCGGAAGUGUAUUGACCAGCUGAUGCUGGUGCAGGCAGAGCUGCAGGACUCGGUGAAGGAGCUGGCUAAGACCAGGAAGAAGUAUCAGGAGACAGAGACCAUGGCCCAGGCCGUCAGGGACAAGGCCGAGCAGGACGCCAAGUCCAAACUGAGUCUCUUCCAAUCCAGGUCCAGUCUGCAGAGGGCAAGUGUAAAGCUGAAAGCCAAGAGGAGUGAGUGUAACUCCAAAGCCACCCAUGCCAGGAACGACUAUCUCCUCACGCUAGCUGCGGCUAACGCUCACCAGCAGCGCUAUUACAACACUGACCUGAUCGACUGCAUUAAGGUCCUGGAUGGGAGCAUCUAUGAGCAGGUGAAGGACUACCUGGUCUCUCUGUGCCAGAUGGAGCUUGAGUCCUAUCAGGCUGUUCACAACACUUUCAACAUCCUCCUGGAGAACUCCAAUGGGAUGAUGCAGGACUUUCACCAGCAGCAGUUUGUACAGCAGAACCAAGUGUUCCACAGUACCCCAGCCAUCCUCUUCCAGCCCAUCAACACUGACACGGUGGGGCAGUUGCAGAAGGAGAGUGGCACAGUGGAGGAGCACAGUCUGGAUAAGGAGGCACGGAGGUGGGCGACCCGAGUGGCACGAGAACACAAGAGCAUCAUCCACAGUCAGAGGGCCCUGGAGGACUAUGGGACCCAACAGGGGCUUUCGGAGCAGAACCGCAGCGAGCUAGAGCUCAAGAUGGAGGAGGCCAGGGAGAACCUGCGGAGAGCAGAGACCGUGAAGCUGAAGGCAGAUGCUCGUCUGGCUCUACUGAGAGAGGCAGGCAUCACAGUGGAGACGUGGCUGAAGAGCGCCAUGAACCAGGUGAUGGAGGAGCUGGAGAAUGAGCGGUGGGCCAACCUCAAUGCCCAUGAUCUUUCACUCUCCGGUACAGGUGACCUAGAGAGGGAGGAGGAUGAAGAUAGUGGAGAGGUGUUGGACGACAGCAGCUCCAGCCCCUCCAGUACCCUCAGGAACUACCCCCUCACCUGCAAAGUGCUCUACUCAUACAAGGCGUCUCAGCCAGACGAGUUGACCAUCGAGGAACAGGAGGUGCUGGAGGUUAUCGAUGAUGGGGACAUGGAGGACUGGGUCAAGGCCAGGAACCAGACAGGCCAGGUGGGCUAUGUCCCGGAGAAGUACCUGCAGCUGCCCUCAUCCAACAGCCUAAUGAGCAUGCUCCAGUCUCUGGCCGCCCUGGACGCUCGCUCCCACUCCUCCAGUAACUCUACCGAGCCCGAGCUGGCCGAGUCAGAGCUGCACACGCCAGGCACACCUAUCGUCAACGGAGACUCCAGCGGUGUGUGCUUCGCCAAGGCCCUGUACGACUACGCGGGCCAGACAGGUGAGGAGCUCUCGUUCCCUGAGGGUGCCAUCAUCCGUGUGCUGAGCCGCGAGACCUACGAGGAUGACGGUUUCUGGGAGGGCGAGUUCAAUGGCACCGUGGGUGUCUUCCCUGCUGUGCUUGUGGAGGACCUUCUGGCAGCGGGUGGUGCCAGUGGAGACAGCGAGAAUGACGACGUCUCGGGAGAGGCCAGCAGCAAUCCGCAGGCGUCCCCCGCUCCUCUUUCCGAGUGCUCUCCACAGAGUCCCUUCCUUCUGGGCCCGUUCCAUAGCAGCCCCUGUCAGAGCAGCCCCCUCCUGACCCCCACUCUGCCCUCGCCCCAGUCCAGCCCCUCCAGUGCCAGCGCCUCCCCCAUACCCCGCCCCCCCUCCAUCAACGGUCACCAUAGGCCACCGCCCGCACCACUCAAAGGCCACUUGCAAAGUCCUGCCCAGAACUCCACCCAGCCCCCAAGGUACCCAACAGAUGGUGGUGCGGGGGGCACCAUUCGACCUGUCCGCGCUGCACCGCUGCCCCCCAAGCCGCAGCAGCCUCGUGGCCAGGUGAAGAAGAGGGAGGAAGUGGAGAUCACGCUGGUGUAACACCGCUGCUGAGAUCAGACCUGGUGGAUCCAGGUCCCUGACCGCUUCUUUUUCUCUCUCUGGCUAGCUCCCUCGCCUUCAUAACUGGCCAUUGAGCAAAGGGGGGGGGGGGGCUUGCCUUGUUGUUCGAGCAAGAUAUCGCCAUUGGAUUACUAUUCAACAAAGUGUUACUAAUUUUGUGAGAGGAUUGUACAUCUGUCACAAUGUUUUUUUUUAAAACACAGCUAAAUUCCAAGCCAGAUCUGUUUGGUUCUUGGUAGAUUGUGUUAAUGUUGUCUCCGCACAUUUCAGGGAAAUUGACAACACGGUAGAGGCGGGUAUCACUCCUGUACCUGAAAUACGUCUUUAAAAAGUGUUUCCAACAUUUCAUAAACAAGGGAAAAGUGGCAAUUUUGGAGGGGUGUGAUUGUUUAAGAUAGGAAUAGCCCCAUUGAGGGCAAAAUCUGGGUCACACUGUGAAACUAGAACAAAACUGCCCCUGACAUGUAAAUUUACUACUCUUCUAAAUGUAUUUGUACAACUUCCUUGUGUUAACUUGGGACAUUUCAAGAUUGCCAGGGGCAGUCUAUAGUGUAUGUAUGAGUAAAUGUAGACUAUUUUUGUGCUACUUUUUGUUGUAAAAACAAAGAUCUAACUAUGUUGUCAUCAAUACUAAUCUAGGCGUAAACUAGCCAAUAAUGGUUGCUGGUGAGAAUAGUUUUUUCAGUCAGGAAUGCAGACUGGGUCACAGUUCAAGACGGAAAGCAUUGCAAGGUGAUUUGCAGUUGUGCAGUGCGUCCCUGGGUCAGACCAUGAGUCAGACGUGCCUUAAAGUUCCCGGAAGAGAAUCUCCAUAGUUCUUAAUUCCCCACAGGAAGUGUGAACUGACUGAAAUACUGAAGCACUUUUUUGAUAUUCUGUUAUGCUCUUUUCAGUAUUGCUGCUUGGUCUCUCUCGUGGUUGCUGCAUUGUUUGUCUACUUUUUUUUUUUUGCUCCAUCUAUAUCGAUGUCACAGACACGAAGUCAACAUUGGCUAUAAACUUUCACUCAACGUCAACAAAACAAAGGAGAUGAUUGUGGACUUAAGGAAACAACAGAGCGAGCACCCCGCUAUCCACAUCUAUGGGACAGCAGUGGAGAAGGUGGCAUGGACCAUUCACACAGUUCAGUCACUCAGCCCUAUCCAUUGGACAUGAUAUUCUCAAGGUCACUACCGUCUCCUACAACACCCUGGUGCGAAGCAAUAUGCCUGGCCCCAUGGCUGUAAAUCAGCAUAUCUCUGAUAAAUGUUAACAGGAACAUCUACAUAAGUAUUCAGAUACUUAACUCAGUACUUUGUUGAUGUACCUUUGGCAGCGAUUACAUCCUCGCUACAAGCUUGGCACACCUGUAUUUGAGAAGUUUCUCCCAUUCUUCUCUGCAGAUCCUCUCAAGCUCUGUCAUGUUAGAUGAGGAGCGUUUCUGCACAGCUAUUUUCAGGUCUCUCCAGAGAUGUUCAAUCAGGUUCAAGUCCAGGCUCUGGCUGGGCCACUCAAGGACAUUCAGAGACUUGUCUCGAAGCCACUCCUGCUGUGUGCUUAGGGUCGUGGUCCUGUUGGAAGGUGAACCUUCAGCCCAGUCUGAGGUCCUGAGCGCUCUGGAGCAGGUUUAUAUCAAGGAUCUCUCUAUACUUUGCUCCGUUCAUCUUUCUCUCGAUCCUGACUAGUCUCCCAGUCCCUGCCAUUGAAAAACAUCCCCACAGCAUGAUGCUGCCACCACCAUGCUUCACCGUAAGGAUGGUGCCAGGUUUCCUCCAGACAUUACGUGAUGCUUGGCAUUUAGGCCAAAUAGUUCAAUCUUGGUUUCAUCAGACCAGAUAAUCUUGUUUCUCACGGUCUGUCUUUCGGUGCUUUUUGGCAAACUCCAAGCGGGCUGUCGUGUUUUUACUGAGGAGUGGCUUCCGUCUGGCCACUCUACCAUAAAGGCCUGAAUGGUGGAGUGCUGCAGAGAUGGUUGUCCUUCUGGAAUCCCAUCUCCACAGAGGAACUCUAGAGCUCUGUCAGAUUGACCAUCGGGCUCUCGGUCACCUCCCUGACCAAGACCCUUCUCCCCGGAUUGCUCAGUUUGUCUGGACGGCCAGCUCUAGGAAGAGUCUUGGUGGUUCCAAACUUCUUCCAUUUAAGAUUGAUGGAGGCCACUGUGUUCAUGGGGACAUUCAAUGCUGCAGAAAUGUUUUGGUAUCCCUUUCCCGGAUCUGUGCCUCGACACAAUCCUGUCUCGGUGCUCUACGGACAAUUCCUUCCACUUCAUGGCUUGGUUUUUGCUUUUCCAAGUAAUGUCCAAUCAAUUGAAUUGACUCCAAUCAAGUUGUAGAAACAUCUCAAGGAUGAUCAAUGGAAACAGAAUGCACCUGAGCUCAAUUUCAAGUCUCAUAGCAAAGGGUCUGAAUACUUAUGUAAAUAAGGUAUCUUUUUUUGAGAGAGAGAGAUUUGGAACAUUUUCAACAAAUGUGUUUUCUCUUUGUCAUUAUGGGGUAUUGUGUGUAGAUUGAUGAGAAAUGUUUUAAUUGAAUCAAUUUUAGAAUAAGCCUGUAACAUAAAAUGUGGAACAAAUCAGGGAUCUGAAUACUUUCCUACUGCACUGUAUAGAUGACUCUUAGACAGUUUCAAAUUGUUUGCCUGUGAAUGAUUGUCCACAUCAAGUUAUUUACGUGUUAACUUUGUUCUAAUACUGAGUCCCUCUCAUAGAAUUUGCAUGAUCCCUUAACUGCCACAUGCUCUUUCUCUCUACAGGAUACAUUAGGGGAGUUACUUUGCUGUUGGCACCCCCUCAUUCUAAAUUUUGCUCACUCUUGUUCAACUGCUCUUUGAUUAAACUAGUUUAAUUCAAUGUUUAAAUUUGCUUCAAGUGAGUUUUUUACGUAACGUUGACAGAUGGCACUUGUAUGGAGGGAUGUGGGGGGAGAGUGGAUAGAUGGCUGUAAAUGGGUUUGGUUGAAGAAACCCCCUUUCCCCUUCUCUUGAUGAGUAAUAAAAGUACAUGUAAUUGCA